GGGAUCCAAAACUUCAAGGUCUGAAGCUGAAACUGAACAAUUGUGUUGGAUUUGUUUGUCCUACUUAUUAUCUAUCAAGUAUUUAAGUUUAUACUUAUGCCACAUGUACCUAGGUGCAUAUUAUCUACUGCAAAGAUGUCAUUCAAUGGUUCUUAAGUUAGAUUGUGGUAAUAGACAAGCAGUGAUGCUAUAAACAUCAAAUCAAACGACCAUUUCAGCUUCUUGAACACUAGAAGGUAUCCCAACCUCCAGUCUCAUAGUAGCCCUAUACUGUUCAGGCACUCCAGCACCAGCCUGCGCACAUAUCUCCACAACAGCAGGUGCUUGCCCGUAGAAGCUUCUCAGCUCCCUCUGCAUCGGCGGCCCAUUCACAUCAGGAACAUGCCAAACGUAUCUCGGCGGUAUCAAGUCAUCAAGCACCGCAGACUGCCAACCGUGCUGACCAUUCCUCUGCUGGUGCUUGAACGCGCCGCAGUUCUGCGCCUUGUGCCCCGUCGGACCAACGUGGACCUCGGGGCAGUACCCGCAGACUCUGACCCUGUACAUCCUCAUCAGCUUCUUGGCUCCCGCUCUCAUCUCUUCCCACGCUUGUAGAGUCUCUUCCGCUAGGGAGACUGUUUCUUCUUCGUUGGAAGGUGGAGUGAUCUCUGAGGGAGGUAGCUCGGUUAACAACGGCUCUGGAGGAAAGUGAGGCUCUGGAUCAGGCAGUUCGGUUUCAUCUGCGUCUACGAACUCGCUUUUGCCGAUGCGGAUUAUCGGUUUUCUUCUCCUUUUCGUUGGAAACUCAGGGAUCUCAACGCCUCCUUGGAUGCAGAGCUCGACUACGGCGGGGACUCGAGGGAUGGUGAAUCUCUCAUCGUGACGGAUGCGCUUGCCGAGACGGUCGUAGAGGUGGUAAGCUUCAAGAGGGACAAUGACGUCUUCGAGGACAGAGUUUGUCCAUUCAUGAUGACCUUUCCUUUGAGAAGCACUAGGACCUUUACACGACUUAAACGGAUGACCGUAAGGUCCAACGUGGAUCUCAUUACACCACCUAAGAGACAAAACAAGAACAACACAUAACCAAACAUAACAAGAAGAGGAAGAAGAAGAAGAAGAAGAGGAGUUAUUAAUUUAUUAUUACCCACAAGCGUUAACACGAACUACUUUCAUGAGGCGGUGGAGAUUGUUGAUCAGUCUGAUUCUCGCGUUGUACACUUUGUAAGCAAGAGGGACGAGAAGAGACAUGAGCCUGAUAAGAAUAGUUAUAGGAACAGAACAGAAGUGAACUUGCUAAAAGAAGAAGAAGGAGAAGACAGUUACUUACUUAAAAAGCUAAUCCAUGGCUUUAGACUGAUUUCAAACGUGACGAUGAUGAUGAGGGAUAACGCUUUGCAGUUUGAGGAAAAAAGUAAGAAGAAGAAGAAGAAGACACGAAAGUGGGUGUGAAUGUGAAAGCGAGCAGACCAGACAAGUGGUAUCUUGCCUUUACCAAAGAUAAAUAAAACUAAAGCAAUGAAGAAGAAAGGGAAUCUGGUAAAUGACGUUUUUACCCUUGAUUAUUUCAAAAAGUAGAUUUGUUCUUUUUAAAAAGUCUCAAAAGUGAUGUUUCAAACACAAGAUGAGACACCGUCACUAGUCAACUGGUUGGAACUUAAAAUAAUGUGAUUUUCAAUUAAAUAAUUAUACUAUGAAAAAAGGACAAACAUGUUCAAGGGAUCCAAAACUUCAAGGUCUGAAGCUGAAACUGAACAAUUGUGUUGGAUUUGUUUGUCCUACUUAUUAUCUAUCAAGUAUUUAAGUUUAUACUUAUGCCACAUGUACCUAGGUGCAUAUUAUCUACUGCAAAGAUGUCAUUCAAUGGUUCUUAAGUUAGAUUGUGGUAAUAGACAAGCAGUGAUGCUAUAAACAUCAAAUCAAACGACCAUUUCAGCUUCUUGAACACUAGAAGGUAUCCCAACCUCCAGUCUCAUAGUAGCCCUAUACUGUUCAGGCACUCCAGCACCAGCCUGCGCACAUAUCUCCACAACAGCAGGUGCUUGCCCGUAGAAGCUUCUCAGCUCCCUCUGCAUCGGCGGCCCAUUCACAUCAGGAACAUGCCAAACGUAUCUCGGCGGUAUCAAGUCAUCAAGCACCGCAGACUGCCAACCGUGCUGACCAUUCCUCUGCUGGUGCUUGAACGCGCCGCAGUUCUGCGCCUUGUGCCCCGUCGGACCAACGUGGACCUCGGGGCAGUACCCGCAGACUCUGACCCUGUACAUCCUCAUCAGCUUCUUGGCUCCCGCUCUCAUCUCUUCCCACGCUUGUAGAGUCUCUUCCGCUAGGGAGACUGUUUCUUCUUCGUUGGAAGGUGGAGUGAUCUCUGAGGGAGGUAGCUCGGUUAACAACGGCUCUGGAGGAAAGUGAGGCUCUGGAUCAGGCAGUUCGGUUUCAUCUGCGUCUACGAACUCGCUUUUGCCGAUGCGGAUUAUCGGUUUUCUUCUCCUUUUCGUUGGAAACUCAGGGAUCUCAACGCCUCCUUGGAUGCAGAGCUCGACUACGGCGGGGACUCGAGGGAUGGUGAAUCUCUCAUCGUGACGGAUGCGCUUGCCGAGACGGUCGUAGAGGUGGUAAGCUUCAAGAGGGACAAUGACGUCUUCGAGGACAGAGUUUGUCCAUUCAUGAUGACCUUUCCUUUGAGAAGCACUAGGACCUUUACACGACUUAAACGGAUGACCGUAAGGUCCAACGUGGAUCUCAUUACACCACCUAAGAGACAAAACAAGAACAACACAUAACCAAACAUAACAAGAAGAGGAAGAAGAAGAAGAAGAAGAGGAGUUAUUAAUUUAUUAUUACCCACAAGCGUUAACACGAACUACUUUCAUGAGGCGGUGGAGAUUGUUGAUCAGUCUGAUUCUCGCGUUGUACACUUUGUAAGCAAGAGGGACGAGGCUCUUGACGACCAUGCCGUUUUUAGGAGGAGGGAGAGGUCUCUUAGGUUUGUCUUUGUUGUUCUUGACUCUCUCCCUAGCUGCUCGUCUCAGGUCCACAAUGGGAACCGGGAAGGGCUUCUUCUCUCUCUUUGAGUACUGCUUAGGUGCGUCUGCGUUCUGAGGAUGAUCACUUCUCACAAGAAAGGGACGAGCUUUACUCCUUUUACUAAGCACAAGUCUAGAAUCUAACUGAACUCUGCUACUUCCCUGCAUCAAUACACAACAGUACUUACUUAAGUACUUGAAACUGGACUCUACACAUUACAAUUUGUACAUGAAGAAACAAAAGUAUGGUCUUGUUCAAACAACCAAACACUAUAACGAAAAAAGAGAAGGAGAGAGAGAAGUGAAUUGGAUUGAUACUGACUACAGUCUACAGAAGGAAGCUGACCUGAAGAGAAGCUGAGAAUCCGAAACAAGAAGACGAGGAGGAGUUGGGAUUGAGAAACUGAUUCAUGGGUAUGCAAAAAGGUACGAUCUUUGGCGAAAAAGCCGAAAGGGAACCAGCAUCUGACCCUGGGAACAACAUACACAAACCAAAUUCAAUUACAGUCUUUGACAGUAAAACGAUGAAAUUGAGCAUGGAGGACAGUUCGAGAAGCAAAUUGAAGAAGAAAGCUUACAGGAGAGGGUGGAGUACGUAAUCGACAUCGUCGACGACUUGAUGGAUUAAAGCAUCGGGAAGAUGGAGGAUAAGAUGAGAGUGGUCUCACUCUCUGGAGACGAAGAAGAUGGCUACUGAGAAUCGUGGACAACAGACAUAAGCCUAGACUAAUGGGCUCUUAAUGGGCUGCAUUGUAGUCUCUUUAAGCCCACGUAGAUUAACAUCUGUUUUACAUGUGUGUGUAAUGGAACCGGGAUUAAAAAAAACCUUUCAAGUAUGCAACCUUUCCUCAUCUUCUUUUUUCUUUCUAAUUUUGUUUGAGUUAACCGGAUUACAUAGCUGUAGAUUUUGAAUACAAUUUUGCUGAUAUGAGCCAAAAAUAAGAAACAGGAAAAUACCGAACCAAAUUUGGCAAAUGAAGGUCUCUGGCUUAUUGGAACCAGACAUUGAGACAUAUCCCUUCCAUCAACCAGCACGUGACCGGUGACCAUUAAAACAACAAAAACGAAGCUAAGCUGUGUGUUAAUUGUGACCAAAACCAACACUUUCACAUCACUAUUGCUUUUACGUUUUUACCGCUCCUCCAUCAGCUGAUGAGUCAUUGAUGCAUUAAACACACGAGAAUCAUCCAUGUCAAUUUGUAAACGCCAAAAAGUUAAAUACAGGAGAAUCAUCCAUAUUUAUAAAGUUUUUUUUUUGGGGUGAUAUUUAAAGCAAAGUGGUUUGCAUGUGACGAGGGGAUUGGGUAUUUAAUAUGGAUUUCAAGUAAAUAAACUUGGAGGACCAAAAAAAAACCUAAAACCCAGAAGUCUAGCACCAACGUCCAGAAAUCAAGGCAGAGUUUCUACACAAUCUGUACAUAUUUUAAUAUUAACUGAAAAGGUGAUAUGUUUGGUUUCUCUCCUUACAUUUCUUGUAUACUAUGAGACCUUGACAAAAAAAAAAUUGAGAUUUAUAUUUCAAUCUCCAUUCUCAUCUGUCUUUUUUCAGUGGACCUAGUUUGAAUGACUUUUAUAUAUGUUACAGACGACAAAGGAACAAAAGAAACAAAGGAGAUAAAAGAGGUUUCUUCAAGACUUCACCAACUAAAAAAAAAGGUGCUACUGUUGAUAAUUUUUUUAAAAAAGCAAGUUGCUUUUCACUUGACCCAACCCAACACCACAAUUUAGUGCAGAAGUCAUUUCCAAACACUGCACAAGUCUCUCUGCUUCCAUCUUCAUCACUAUCACUGCUGUCUCAACCCAUUUAAAAAAGCAGUUUUGCUUUUAUUUUAUUUCCUUUUCUCUUUUUUUUCUUCCUCACAGUCAGAGCAACAACAGCAACAUGAUGUGUCCUUCUUUUCUGCUUCUUUGUCUUUCUCUGACUUCUUCUUCUCAUCUUGCUAUUAGAAUACUACACGAAACCCAUUGUAGCCUCCCUCCUCUCUCUCUCUCUAUCUCUUACCAUUCCUUCUUUCAAGAGCUCCCCCUUCUGUAAGUACUACUACUACUACAUCUUGUGUGUUCAUCUGAUGAAGCGAGCUCAUGGAGACUUCACUCCUUCCAACUCUAAUCCUUUUGAGGAUCCAAAAAUCAGAUUUAGGCACCAUAGCCUUUUCCAAGACUAUCAAGAACUUCAUAUGGUAUGCCCAACUCUUUUCUUUUCUUUUCUUGAGUUUAUAAAAAAACAAGAUUUAGUUUCUUCAUCUGCUCUACUUGUUUCUGCAAGACUGGAUCUAAGGGAAUCACUCAGGAUGUUUCUUCUUGUUCUCACCCUGAUCUGUUCUCACAACUCAAAAGACUUGAAAAAAAAAAGGAUCAACAUGUUGAUUUAAAAGAAAAAGAUUGAAACUUUGAGCUUAGUUGUUGGGUUGUUGGUUGUUUCUUUUACUUUUUUUUUUGAUUGUGUAGUCAGUCUUAAAACUGAUCAAAUACUGUUUUCUUGAGUCUUAAAAGUUAUCAAAAAGAGUGUUUAUCUCUUUUAAGAUCACUUUGGUUCUCUGUAUUUUUUAUUUUUAACGUGUAUUGCUGUUUUGUUGGAUUACACAAAGGAUACUGAAGCAAUGAGAAAAAGGUUGGAGACUAUGCAAGAGAGAAAGGCAACGCUAAUGGCCGAAGUCAGGUACGUGUAUAGUUACAAUCCUUGACACUAUAUCAUGAAGUCCUUGAUGUUUUGUGUUUCAAGUGUUUAUGUCUGUUUUAUCAGGUUUCUGCGGCGGAGGUACAGACAUUUGAGACAAGAACAGCCUGUUAAAAAGGUUAGGGGAAGAUCAAAUGGUGGGAAGAAGAGUAAGACGCAGUUAGUCCGAGUGCAAGUGUCUCCUGAUAAGACAAGUGAAGCAGAAACGAAGCAUGUUUCACUUCCUGACUUAAACCACUCAGGAGAGGCUCAUCAUGACGAAACCAAACCCAAAAAAGUUCCAUUGUUCGAUCUAAACCAGAUAUCUGUAAGCACUCUUAGAAUUGCUUACAAAAGAAACCAAACAUGUCUUUACUACUCAUUGCAAACCAUCUCUUAAAUUGGUUAUAGGGAGAAGAAGAGGAAGAGAUGAACAAUAGCGAAGAGAGAAUGAGAGUGGAACAAAGGAGAAUGAGCAGCAUAGAGAUGCUGUCUUGCAGGAACGGAGGAGACGGUUCACAUAAGAGGAAAAGCUCAUGGCAAGAUCCUGUUGCAGCUCUUAGAGUUUAAAAGACAUCAAUGUCAUGUACCAUCUUGUAACAUAGCUCACACAUCAAUUUAGAUUGCUUAUCUUCUCUGUUGAAAACAUAUCCUUGUCCAUUCUUGAUGUGGCGACUUAUACAAGUGACAUUUGUAUACUAGACAUGUGUCGUUCUUACACGAGUAAACAAAAUCUACGGAAGUGAUCCAAAACUUCAGGAACAAGAUCAACGGUCAGGAUGUGUUCACACGUGUAUAAACAGAGAACGUUUCGUGUAAACUUUAAAUUCAUUACCGGACGCCAAAGACAUGAUGAUCUUCUUCUUGUCUGAAACGUAACACGAAAAAGAAAAAAAAAACGCAAGAACCUUUAUGGACGAAGACGUGUUGGCUCCAGAGAUACUCACCAGCAUCAUCUCAAGGCUUUACGAUUCAACAACGAUGGACGGACCCAUGUUCGUGCCAAGGUCAGGAGAUGUGGUGGCUCAGAUGGAGAGGUAUGGACAUUGAAGACUAUAUGACGAGAGAUUUGAUAUACAAGCCAUGAGGAUCUGAGUUUCACACACUUAUGUUAUGUAAUAAAACAGUUAGGUUGUUACUUGUGUUAUUAUAGUAUAUAACAACUUAACCGGUUCUGUUAUGUGUUAAAAGUGUUCUGUGCAGAAGGAAACUGAUCUAAGCAUCUCUUUUGGUUUCACAAACUUGGAAAAGACCAAAGCAUAGAGCCACAGCAUUCAUGUUGUACACACACAUGUAGAACUCAAACUUAUAUGAGAACACAGAGAGUUCUUGUUGACAUUAACUACUAUCGACCACUACAAUUCUUGUAGAGAAAGUAAACAAGAAAACCACUUUUGCCAGUAAAAAAUUAAAAAAGAAGAGAGAGCAGGAAAGAGGAGACAAGGCAAGCAGUCAUAUGGAAGGAGCCUGAAAAAAGCGUUGCAGAAGCUGAUGUGGUGGUGCGAGCCCUUCUGUAUCCUCCUCCUCCUCUUUUCCUUAUGAAAACUCCAAGCUUCCUCGUUUGACCAGCUUGGUCGUCGUCAUGACCUGAACACAGAAGAAAGGACUGAGACAAGAACAGGAGCAAGAUGAUUGAUAGGAUGAGUAAGCGUUUGACGUCAGCCAUCUCUGCUCUAAAGAUAAGAGAAGGUUUUGGCCAUCUGCCGUGAUUAUAAAGAAAAAGGCAAUAGUUGAAGAAGAUACGUUUUGUCAGCUGUAUAUAAUUUAAUAGCAUUUGGUGUGAUGAUUGAGACAUGGAAUGAUAAGAUAAAUGUCAUAGUGUCAUGUGGAGCCUAACGCGGUCAUAAUUCAAAGAUUUUGACUCGCUGGAAAGCUAAGUGUCCAAUAUCACAAAGCAAUCAUCAAUCAAAGGUCAAAGCCGACCACGAUAUAUAUAAUUACCGAUUCAACUAUACGUUAAUCCCAAAGUGAAGUAACUUGCUUUCCAGACACUAUUCUUUGCUGAACUAUGGGUAAAAUGGGUUUUAUUGGGUCGAGAUGCUACUAACCUGAAAGGUAAUCAUUCUGGGUAGGCUAAGAUUUUGUCCAAAAUGGAUGGCUCCACCUCCGGGAAAGAUGUGACUUGACCAACUCGUUUAGCUAGUUCCCCUGUGACUCGGUCCAUGUAAAGAAGAUACAAUCCGUUUCUUUCGUCCAAAGCUGCUACUGCUUUCCUCGCAUGGAUUACUGAUGCUAUCCACUCCUCAAACACAACUACAGGUUAGACACAACCAAAUAUCAGCAUCAUUUAUCAGAGCCAGGUUUCGAUCCUGGGACCUGUGGGUUAUGGGCCCACCACGCUUCCGCUGCGCCACUCUGAUUUGAUGUUUAAUUAUCAUAAAAACUACAUAUAGUUUAGUUUACCAGUUUCAAAUGCUUCACUCUCAGCCCAAGGUAGCAGAUAGUCACAUAUCAGGAACUCAAUAAGCUGUAUCCUACAGAUUCAUAAGACAAACGUAAUCAAUCUCAGCAGUCCAUGUAUCAUAAAAACACAUUCUCAUUAGAAUUUUAAAUACUUACAAUAUAAACAUGCACUCAUCCAUAUCUGGGAAUGAUUCAUCAAAUGGGUCCAUGACCAGUAAGUUUUCGGCUAGAAUGGAUAGUCUCUGAGAGACAGAAAAUAUUGCACGCUGUCCAAUGUAUGGAUCACUUCCCAGUUUACGAAUCAGAUGUUGACCAUAAAACCCGACACUUGUUUCUAGUUGCUUAACCUCUGCUCCAGAUUGUAAACGCACAAAAGCUAAUAUUAGAAAUGAUAACCAGAAAGAGAAACACAGUUAGAAUCAUAACUAAGCUGCUGGAGUUACCAUUUCCUUUAAAGGGAGUGCACAUUCCUUUGAUCAACUGUGUAACCAUGAAACUAAUAGAUUCUUCAACAGCUUCCAAGUUUCUCCCCAUCGAUAUAAGCUUCUUCAGUGAAGCUUGAGCAUGGCAAAAGGAGCAUAUUAGUAAGAAGAGGAACAAUAGCACACAUUUGUUUCAUAAGUGCAAAGCCGCCUCCCAAUAAAAGGAAUGACAGCUCAGGAUAUAGAUAAUAAUAUUACCUAAUAUGAAAUCUACAGCCUCAUGUGACCAAUUGCUGAAACUAGAGGACUGCAGAUAUAUAAGAAGAGAUUCCAAUGUUAGAAAGCAUGUAAAGAGUGCACAUUAAGAAAAGAAAAAUCUUAAGAAACAAAGCCUAACAUUGGAGUCUGGUUCAGCAAGUUCCAGUAGAAAAUCAAUAGAAAUCUUUAGAUGCUCUGCUUCCUCUUCAUAUCCCGGUUCUGCAGUCAAAAGUUUCAACACAAUAUAAAAAAAAGAAUCCUAGAAGAUGAACAGGUGGUGCUUGCUUACAUAACAUUCUAUUGUUCACUUCCUUAUCCCACAUAGCAAUAUUAUGGUAUGGUGUUGUAUGAUGCAUAAACCAAACUGAAAGUGAGAGAAUAAAAUAUGAACCAAGCCCAAGAAGACCCUUAAACAAAAACCUGAGAGCCGCAAUCUUUGAGAUAAUCGAGUUGAUUUCCUUCUCCCCCUUGUCCUUGCUAUGAAUCAAAUCACAACACAAGCUGAUAAGUCAAUUCCAGAAACACAAAGGAUACAAAUAUGUGCAUAGGAAAGAGACCUAAUCUGAUAAAUCUACGACGGAGAACAUCACUGAAACUCGGUUGAGAGACCUCUCCAAACCGCCUGCCGCUGAAUUCUCCCAAGUUAUCAAAGAAAUAACACUUGCAAGAAGCACUCGCUGGGAAUAAAUCACAAUGUGAACCACCUAAGAUGCAAUUUGACAGAAAAAAAAAUUAUUCAGCUCCAGAAACUGAACUUGCAGCCUUUCUAUUUUUGGGAAUCAUUAAAUACAUAUAAAUAAACGAGUUGCUAAAGUUCAGAGAGACAGAAACUCUAAACCAUAAGUUCUCGGUAGUGAGUAAGUACUAAGAUUAAAAAAAUGCGAAGUAACGUUAGAGAGUUAUGACUUUAUGGGUCAUACAUUAUGGUCAACCACAUAUGACCACUCUCCAAAUGAUUUCAUUUGUUUAUUUUCAAAUUUGAUCAAAAAGCUCCUUCCGACUAGUUGCAUGAUUUUAUGUAUCGUAUGUUUUGUGGACCAUAACCUAAACGCUCUCAAGAUUGUCAUACCAAAACCAAUUUCAGUUUCAGUAACAUCUAUACGGUGCAGAAGAUCAACAAAGAAAGACUAAAACUAAAGUUCAGAACAUGAAACAAAUUUCUCUUUCUCAUAUUCACCUUCUACUGGAAGAGGGAUCAGACUUGGAACGUACACGUAGUCAGAGCCAGCCCUGGCUACAAGCAGGUGAAGCGUGAGCUUGGAGUCCAUACGUCUAUAAAUUAUUAUGGAGCCAAUUUUCCCAAUUGUAGUUAGACCAAUUGGUUUAGUUCGUUGUUAUUUUGACAGUGUCCGUUGGUGGUAAUGCAUCUAUUUUAAUGAAAUUCACUGCGUUUUUUUUUACUGAAAUGAAGAUGAAAAUCACUAUUGUACAUAGAUUUAAGUCAUUUCCAUAGUUAACAAGUUUCAAAUAUUUGUUUCAGGUUCUAAAUUUUUCAGAUAACUAAGUUUGUAUUCUGUUGGAUAAGUUACAAAUACUCAGGCCAUUCAAUUAUUAUGGGCUCUCAGCUAACAGAAAGACACAAAUGGUCAAACAUUUCCAAUGUAAAUAUCUGAAGCAACCAGUCUAUAAGGGUCUCAGGUCUGAACAACAAUCAACUGAACAGUAUCUGAGACCGUAAAACAAAAAUGCAAAAGGUCAAAAAAGUAAUAAUAGGAGUCGCAGAAGAAUACAAAAAAAGGAAAUGAACACAUUCCCACAUCAACAACACAAAGAAGUGAGAAUAAUGUCGUAAUAAAAGAGCUUAAUAAAGAAGACCAAAACUCCCACAAGUUUUCUUGUUGGAAACUAUCUUUGAGUUCUGUCCUUCAAGCUUACAACACAACACUCAUCGCACAAGGCCUUGGUUCCUUUACAGAUUCCGACAAGCCUCGACGUCUGCAGCCUGUGAGGCCAACAGCGACUUCCCCUGCUCGCUAGAUUCCACAAUGCGCACAGCUGCAUCAAUCACCGCCUUCUGGAACCUAUCAUCCUCCAUCUUUCCAAGGACCUCUCUAACAAAUUUGAAAUCCACACCACCAGCAACAAUCAGCUUCCCUACAAUCUCACCAAAGUUGUUUGGUGCCUUGGGGAGAUCGAUUCCAACGUCGUCCAGCAUAGCACCGAACAUCAAGCACCCAGUUUCAAGAUCCUUGGGUGUGACCACCUUCUUGGAUAGCAGAUACACCAAGAGACUAGCGAUGGGCUCAACAACAGGUGGGCUUUUCUCAAGGGCUAGAGUAAUUGCUUCAUUCACAAACUCUGCGUGAUAAGAAGGCGACGCAAGGUCCACCAAACACUGCAUAGCUUCAUCAAGAAGUCGGACAUUGA
This 11105-nucleotide long non-coding RNA is filed under the name Brassica napus (rape). RNAcentral's name for it is "long non-coding RNA (BNAP_LNC001195)". Lineage: Eukaryota; Viridiplantae; Streptophyta; Magnoliopsida; Brassicales; Brassicaceae. The record is from RNAcentral.